Molecule: ribosomal RNA, 196 nt
Filed under: Cryptosporidium hominis
Lineage: Eukaryota; Apicomplexa; Conoidasida; Eucoccidiorida; Cryptosporidiidae
Also listed under: 1 other name
Description: partial small subunit ribosomal RNA
Rfam family: Eukaryotic small subunit ribosomal RNA
Source: RNAcentral
ACUUUUUGGUUUUGUAAUUGGAAUGAGUUAAGUAUAAACCCCUUUACAAGUAUCAAUUGGAGGGCAAGUCUGGUGCCAGCAGCCGCGGUAAUUCCAGCUCCAAUAGCGUAUAUUAAAGUUGUUGCAGUUAAAAAGCUCGUAGUUGGAUUUCUGUUAAUAAUUUAUAUAUUAUAUUUUGAUAAAUAUUUAUAUAAUA